GUGGCUCAGUGGGAGAGCACUUGCCUAGCAUGCACAAGGCCCUGGGUUCAAUCCCCAGC
This 59-nucleotide transfer RNA is filed under the name Heterocephalus glaber (naked mole-rat). It matches the Rfam family "tRNA", at positions 7 to 64 of the family's 71-position model. From Rfam's summary of the family: Transfer RNA (tRNA) molecules are approximately 80 nucleotides in length. Their secondary structure includes four short double-helical elements and three loops (D, anti-codon, and T loops). Further hydrogen bonds mediate the characteristic L-shaped molecular structure. tRNAs have two regions of fundamental functional importance: the anti-codon, which is responsible for specific mRNA codon recognition, and the 3' end, to which the tRNAs corresponding amino acid is attached (by aminoacyl-tRNA synthetases). tRNAs cope with the degeneracy of the genetic code in two manners: having more than one tRNA (with a specific anti-codon) for a particular amino acid; and 'wobble' base-pairing, i.e. permitting non-standard base-pairing at the 3rd anti-codon position. Lineage: Eukaryota; Metazoa; Chordata; Mammalia; Rodentia; Bathyergidae. The record is from Rfam by way of RNAcentral.